This 482-nucleotide ribosomal RNA is filed under the name uncultured bacterium. RNAcentral describes it as "partial 16S ribosomal RNA". It matches the Rfam family "Bacterial small subunit ribosomal RNA", at positions 30 to 507 of the family's 1533-position model. The record is from RNAcentral.
AUUGAACGCUGGCGGCAUGCCUUACACAUGCAAGUCGAACGGUAACGGGCCUUCGGGUGCCGACGAGUGGCGAACGGGUGAGUAAUACAUCGGAACGUGCCCGAUCGUGGGGGAUAACGAGGCGAAAGCUUUGCUAAUACCGCAUGCGAUCUACGGAUGAAAGCAGGGGACCGCAAGGCCUUGCGCGGACGGAGCGGCCGAUGGCAGAUUAGGUAGUUGGUGGGAUAAAAGCUUACCAAGCCGACGAUCUGUAGCUGGUCUGAGAGGAUGAUCAGCCACACUGGGACUGAGACACGGCCCAGACUCCUACGGGAGGCAGCAGUGGGGAAUUUUGGACAAUGGGCGCAAGCCUGAUCCAGCCAUGCCGCGUGCAGGAUGAAGGCCUUCGGGUUGUAAACUGCUUUUGUACGGAACGAAAAGCCUUCUUUUAAUACAGGAGGGUCAUGACGGUACCGUAAGAAUAAGCACCGGCUAACUACGUG